RNAcentral lists this transfer RNA (77 nucleotides) under Actinomycetota bacterium. RNAcentral's name for it is "tRNA-Ala". It matches the Rfam family "tRNA". From Rfam's summary of the family: Transfer RNA (tRNA) molecules are approximately 80 nucleotides in length. Their secondary structure includes four short double-helical elements and three loops (D, anti-codon, and T loops). The record is from RNAcentral. RNAcentral also lists the same sequence under 1 other name. Lineage: Bacteria; Bacillati; Actinomycetota.
GGGGGUGUAGCUCAGCCCGGUAGAGCGCUGCCUUCGCACGGCAGAGGUCAGGGGUUCGAAUCCCCUCACCUCCACCA